GAUGAACGCUAGCGACAGGCUUAACACAUGCAAGUCGAGGGGCAGCGAGGGAGUGCUUGCACUUCUGUCGGCGACCGGCGCACGGGUGAGUAACACGUAUGCAACCUGCCCUUGUCAGGGGGAUAAGCGAGGGAAACCUCGUCUAAUACCGCAUAUAUGAUUUAGAGGCAUCUUUUAAUCAGGAAAGAAUUAUCGGACAAGGAUGGGCAUGCGGGACAUUAGGUAGUUGGGGGUGUAACGGACCACCAAGCCGACGAUGUCUAGGGGUUCUGAGAGGAAGGUCCCCCACACUGGUACUGAGACACGGACCAGACUCCUACGGGAGGCAGCAGUGAGGAAUAUUGGACAAUGGGGGAAACCCUGAUCCAGCGACGCCGCGUGAGUGAAGAAGUAUUUCGGUAUGUAAAGCUCUAUCAGCAGGAGAAAAUGACGGUACCUGACUAAGAAGCUCCGGCUAAAUACGUGCCAGCAGCCGC
Molecule: ribosomal RNA, 476 nt
Filed under: uncultured bacterium
Lineage: Bacteria
Description: bacterial SSU rRNA
Rfam family: Bacterial small subunit ribosomal RNA
Source: RNAcentral